GCUGUUUUAUUUUAUUUAUGUACUAUUUUCUGACUGGCACAAUAGAAACAUCUGUGGCAUCAUGGGCAAUUGGAGGGAUUAUACCACUCACGCCAUAUAAACUGAGCAGUGGGACUGCUCAUUAUACUGUAAGUAAUAUUUUAUUAUUAUCUCCCCAUCUAUAAAUACGGGGAGCACUAUAUAAUCUCUAUUUGUUUUGUUUGUUUUUUGGCUCUUUUGGUCACUUAUCCUGCCAUUGAAGACAAUAAG
This is a non-coding RNA of Pelobates cultripes (western spadefoot toad), 249 nucleotides long. Lineage: Eukaryota; Metazoa; Chordata; Amphibia; Anura; Pelobatidae. The record is from the annotation of a GenBank genome assembly.